AUUCCAGCGGUGUGGCUAAGAAGCAGCUCCUCUCUCUUUGCAAAGCGCUGGGCUGGGGCUGCUGCUGCUGGUGUGAGCCUGUCCUUCCACUUCCGAGCUCUGGCAGCCAGGAGAAGAUCUGAUCGCCCCGCCGGGUCCCUUUGGGAGGGAGGAAGGAAGGAAGGAAGGAAGGAGGGAAGGAAGGAAGGAGGCAGGCAGCCAGGGGAAGAGAAAAGGAGCAAAGCUAAGCAGCAGCAGCCGCCUCCUGCCUCCUCCAGACAGAGCCAGCCGGCGGGGACCGCUUGGGCUCUGCUCCUCUCCUUGCGAUCCGGAGGAGGAGGGAAAGGGGUUUGGUUCCGCAGCAUCCUGAGGACCAUUUCCAUAGUAACCUGCUCCAAGGGGGAUGGGGUGGGUCUCCCCGACCUUUCCAGGAUGGCAUUUGACAGAAUUCACAAAGGGCCCACUCCCAACAUGCAUUUCUAUUGCUGAAACCACACUGGAAUGAAUGGCGGGUGGAAAAGAACAUGGUAAGGCAUUCCCUGCUGCCAUUGACAUGUGGUUGAACUCUGAACUGACAUCAGAACACUAUUCCUAUAACAGUUGGUAAGUUGUCAUAUUUGUGUGGUAUUGUGGCUAAAACAUUUUGCUGUUUGGAAUGAUGGACUUAAAUGGAAAAUAUAUAUUUCCUAUUUUUAAGUAUUUGUUAAAGCUAUUUGUGAAAAGUUUUCAUUGUUUGGCUCCUAAGUACAGUAGAGUCUCACUUAUCCAACACUCGCUUAUCCAACAUUCUGGAUUAUCCAACACAUUUUUGUAGUCAAUGUUUUCUAUACAUCGUGAUAUUUUGGUGCUAAAUUCGUAAAUACAGUAAUUACUACAUAGCAUUACUGCGUAUUGAACUACUUUUUCUGUCAAAUUGUUGUAUAACAUGAUGUUUUGGUGCUUAAUUUGUAAAAUCAUAACCUAAUUUAAUGUUUAAUAGGCUUUUCCUUAAUCUCUCCUUAUUAUCCAAUAUAUUUGCUUAUCCAACGUUCUGCCGGCCCGUUUACGUUGGAUAAGCGAGACUUUACUGUACAUAAAUUAUAUUGAACAGUUACGAGGACAAAUUAAACUUGUAACUAUGGUGCUCUGAGAAAGCUAAGCAAUAUCAAUAGCAAUGAGAAACCAACAAUUCAGUUACAGAAAAGCAGGCCUCUGACUGUUAAAGAGCUAUUAAAGAAACUGUUAGUUGUGGGACAACUUCUGAGGCUUUAGUAAUAUUAUUGACAGCAUCCUAAUAUGUUUCUAUUUUGACAGAAUCUCUGCUAUAAGCCCAGUCUGAUGUCUUACAGUGUAGUUAGAAUAUAGAGCUAUAUUUAAACACACUGUGGAAUAUCUGUUAUCUUUAGGUUUAUAUGAUUUAUCAUUAUUUAUAUUUUCAUUUUAGAGAAAAACAUAUUGGAGGUAGUUUUUUAAGUCAGAUGUUGAUUUUUGUUUCUUAAAAUACCUAUAAAUAUGGUCAGCAAGACAUGAGUGAAUAUGGUGUAGUCAGCUAAUUGAGACGUAAAGCAACUUUAGGGUAUUGUAAAUCAGCCAAAGGUUAGUGAUCAGGAAGACUAAAGUGUAUCUGCUUUGAAAGGUAAGUAAAUCACAUUGGCUAAUGAGUUUAGUGGCAAUGGAGUAAAGAUUGCUUGAGCUAGAUCCAAAGUAAAAGGACUAUUGGAUUAAUGCAGUCAUUCUUCUUCCUCUUGUCUUAGCUUUUUCUUUCUUUGUUUUAGAUAUAUUGGUUUUCAACAUUUUCUGUGAAAGACCCAUUUGUGUGCAAUCUAGAUUCUCUAAUGCAAGAGAGAAAAAUGCAGCAUGUUUGUAAAUUGAUGUAUUCAUUGUAUGUAUAUAUAUUAUUGACUAGUAUUAAAAUACACAAAAAAACCUAGUACAGUAUAUUUAUGUAAAGACCACUGAAGGUCAUAAGAGGAGUUUUACUGGUUUCGUUGGAAACAGUUACUCAGGUUCGGUACACACAGUAUGUUUUAAGUCUUAUCACCAUGUGAUUGGAUUAAAUCUUGAUUACUUGCAACCUCAUCACAUUGGGUUGUUUUCAGUGGCAUGUGUA
Molecule: long non-coding RNA, 2068 nt
Organism: Anolis carolinensis (green anole)
Lineage: Eukaryota; Metazoa; Chordata; Lepidosauria; Squamata; Anolidae
Source: Ensembl